GACGAACGCUGGCGGCGUGCUUAACACAUGCAAGUCGAACGGAAAGGCCCUGCUUUUGUGGGGUGCUCGAGUGGCGAACGGGUGAGUAACACGUGAGUAACCUGCCCCUGACUUUGGGAUAACUUCAGGAAACUGGGGCUAAUAUCGGAUAGGAGCUCCUGCUGCAUGGUGGGGGUUGGAAAGUUUCGGCGGUUGGGGAUGGACUCGCGGCUUAUCAGCUUGUUUGUGUGGUAGUGGCUUACCAAGGCUUUGACGGGUAGCCGGCCUGAGAGCGUGACCGGCGACAAUGGGACUGAGAUACGGCCCAGACGCCUACGGGAGGCAGCGGUGGGGAAUCUUGCACAAUGGGCGCGAGCCUGAUGCAGCAACGCCGCGUGCGGAAUGACGGCCUUCGGGUUGUAAACCGCUUUCGCCUGAGACGAAGCGUGAGUGACGGUAAUGGGUAAAGAAGCACCGGCUAACUACGUG
Molecule: ribosomal RNA, 468 nt
Filed under: uncultured bacterium
Lineage: Bacteria
Description: partial 16S ribosomal RNA
Rfam family: Bacterial small subunit ribosomal RNA
Source: RNAcentral